RNAcentral lists this ribosomal RNA (469 nucleotides) under uncultured bacterium. RNAcentral describes it as "partial 16S ribosomal RNA". It matches the Rfam family "Bacterial small subunit ribosomal RNA", at positions 28 to 507 of the family's 1533-position model. The record is from RNAcentral.
GACGAACGCUGGCGGCGUGCUUAACACAUGCAAGUCGAACGGAAAGGCCCUGCUUGCAGGGUGCUCGAGUGGCGAACGGGUGAGUAACACGUGGGUGAUCUGCCCCUUACUUUGGGAUAAGCCUGGGAAACUGGGUCUAAUACUGGAUAGGACCAUGCUGUAGGUGGUGUGGUGGAAAGAUUAGUUUCGGUAAGGGAUGAGCUCGCGGCCUAUCAGCUUGUUGGUGGGGUAAUGGCCUACCAAGGCGUCGACGGGUAGCCGGCCGGAGAGGGUGGACGGCCACAUUGGGACUGAGAUACGGCCCAGACUCCUACGGGAGGCAGCAGUGGGGAAUAUUGCACAAGGGGCGCAAGCCUGAUGCAGCGACGCCGCGUGGGGGAUGACGGCCUUCGGGUUGUAAACUCCUUUCAGCCAUGACGAAGCCCUUGUGGUGACGGUAGUGGUAGAAGAAGCACCGGCUAACUACGUG